CCGCAUGUAGCCUAGGGUCACCACACCAGGGGCAUUCAUGCUUCGUUUCAUUGCCAACCAUUUCGUAUCCAAAAUAAAUGGUAAACCACACAACCUAUUUUCAUUUGAACCACACAUAAUCCUAUAUGCCUCACUAUAAAUAAAGGCACCAAAGCUGUGCAUUGUUAGAGCAGUAAGAUUGUAUCACACAAAUUUGUUGCUUGCCUUCUAUCAAGAAAUAUUCAUGAGUACUUCAUCAAGGUUGAAAUGGCUGCCGUCUGUGAUAUUUGUGGUACUGGUAGAAUGCCAUGCGCCUUAGAUCAUGAGAAAAUAACACAAUUUCGGGUGAUAGGUCCAGACUCUCUUCGUUACAGGAUUGUGAAUCAAUAUCGUAAUGUCAUAUACUACGAGACCGACGCUGCUGCUGCCCAGUUCGACUACGGAGUUGACGA
Molecule: long non-coding RNA, 431 nt
Organism: Triticum dicoccoides
Lineage: Eukaryota; Viridiplantae; Streptophyta; Magnoliopsida; Poales; Poaceae
Exons: 3
Source: RefSeq, a predicted model, not a curated record